Molecule: long non-coding RNA, 1654 nt
Organism: Junco hyemalis (dark-eyed junco)
Lineage: Eukaryota; Metazoa; Chordata; Aves; Passeriformes; Passerellidae
Source: Ensembl
AUGGGCUGGGCUGGAGGGGGACAUGGAGUGGAAGGGAGGGCAGGGGAGAGAUUUGGGGUCCUGGGGCAAGCUGAGUGUCCUUGGGUAACUCAGGAAGGGUUCAGGGUGUCCCCAAAAGGGGGUGUCAAUGUCUCUGAGGGUCUCAGAAAGUCCCCAGAGGUGCUCAGGAGGUCCCAGCUGAUCCAGAGGAUCCCUGAAGGGCACCCAGAAGGGCUUCUCAGUGUCCCCAGGGGUCUCAGGAGGACCCCAAAGGUGCUUGGGACGUCCCAUCUGAGACUCAGGGGGUCCCAGAGAAGGUCUCAAGUCCCCAAGGGUACAGAAGUCCCCAAAGGUGCUCAGGAGGUCCCAAGGUGGUCUCAAGGUGUCCCAAGGUGUCCCAAGAUAUCCCAGGUGCCCCAAGAGGUCCCAGAAGCCAGUCCCCAGGGUGGUCCCACCCCUCCUCGGGGUCCCCCCAGCCCCACCUUGUCGAUGAAGGCGGCGAAUUUAUCAUUGAGGGUCUUGAUCUGCUCCUUCUCCUCCCGGCGCAGCUCCUGCAGCUCGGGAUCCACGGCCACGUCCAGCGGCGCCAGGAGACUCCGGUUGAUGGUGACGGCCGUGAUGCCCCCGCCCGGCACCCACGAGGGUCCCCCGAGCCCCCCGGAGACCGACAUCUGAGAGGGGAGAGUGCGAAGAGAGGCUGGAGAGAGCCUGCCAAGGGCUCGGGAGGUGCCAAAGGAGGAGGGCGGCUGGAGGAUGGGGAAGGUGGAGAAGACUGGGAGGAGGUUGGAAGUUGGAGAAGGAGAUAGGAGGGAGUUUGGAAAGAGGUUGGAAAGUGGGUUGGAGGAGGCUGAGGGGGAUGAGGAGGCUGCAGGGAGGAUGGAGAAGGGUAGAAGGAGGAUGAGGAGGUUGGUGCAAGUUUGGAAGACGGUUGGAGAAGGUCCUCAGCUGAGAAGGACGAGGACGACUGGAAGAGGCUGAAGACGCUCAGGGUGAUGAGGACGGCUGGAGCAGGUUGGAGACGGCUGAGGAGGACGAGGCCGAAGGCCGCGCUCGGGGCAGGGAGGCUCCGGCGGCCGCCCCGGCAGGACCGGCCGGACGGGUCGGGGCAGGACGGGCCGGGCCGGGCGGAGCGGCCGGGCGGGUUCCGGGCGCCUUCCCGGUUUGGUUCCCGGGUUGGUUCUCGGGUUUACCCCAGAGCCGGGGGAGGAGAAGCGGGGGGAGGGACCGGAGCUUUAACCCCUUCGGGACGUGCGAUUGGCGGGAUCACCGGGAUCCACCGGCAUCGGGACGGGAGGGUACGCGGGUGUGGGCUUACCCCAAAAUGCGGCCCCUGCGCUCCACACCCGCCUCGGCGCCCCCUCCAGAACUAGGAGACCCACCGGCACUCCCUCGGGAGUGUCCCCAGCCCUUCCCCACCGUGUCCCCACACCUGAGUCUCCUGAUCUGAGUCCCUGACUCCAUGGCACCAAGUCCUGUCACCCAGUUUGGGCCCCCGACCCCCAACCCCAGUCCAGUCUCAGCCCCCAACCCCUGACCCAAUCCCAUGUCCCCAGCUUGUCCCCCAGUCUGGGGCUCCAGACCAAUGUCACCACCCUGUGUCCCCCAGUCUGCAUGCCCAGCACCACAUCCCCAAUCUGUGACCCCAAACUAUUCCCCCAACCCCUGACCCCAGCCC